AGCUUUUCACAUCUGUGCUGAGAUUUCCUCAGACACCAACCCAUGAGGACUGGUCAGACUUUCAAGAUAAGUGAAGUU
Schistosoma haematobium is the source of this 78-nucleotide non-coding RNA. Lineage: Eukaryota; Metazoa; Platyhelminthes; Trematoda; Strigeidida; Schistosomatidae. The record is from Rfam.